RNAcentral lists this ribosomal RNA (490 nucleotides) under uncultured bacterium. Its description in RNAcentral is "partial 16S ribosomal RNA". It matches the Rfam family "Bacterial small subunit ribosomal RNA", at positions 28 to 507 of the family's 1533-position model. The record is from RNAcentral.
GAUGAACGCUAGCGACAGGCUUAACACAUGCAAGUCGCGGGGCAGCAUGGGGCUUGCUUGCAAUCCUUGAUGGCGACCGGCGCACGGGUGACUAACGUGUACCCAACCUGCCCUUCACCACGGGAUAACCCGGCGAAAGUCGGACCAAAACCGUACGCUGGCCAUUUGCGGCGGCCGGUUUGGUCGCAGCGCUUAGCGGUGGGGGCUGGGGAUGCGUGCGAUUUGCUUGCCGGGGGGGUAACGGCCCGCCGGGGCGAUGGUCGGCAAGGGUUCGGGGAGGAACGUCCCUCACACUGGGACUGGGACCCGGUCCAGACUCCUACGGGAGGCAGCAGUGAGGAAUAUUGGUCAAUGGACGUAAGCCUGAACCAGCCAAGUCGCGUGCAGGAUGACGGCCCUAUGGAUUGUAGACUGCUUUUAUGCGGGGAUAAAGGGACCCACGUGUGGGUUUUUGCCGGUACCGCAUGAAUAAGGACCGGCUAAUUCCGUG